GACGAACGCUGGCGGCGUGCCUAAUACAUGCAAGUAGAACGCAGUUGCGAACGGGUGAGUGACGCGUAGGUAACUGCCUCAUAGCAGGGGAUAACUAUUGGAAACGGUAGCUAAUACCGCCUAUUUUGAGAUGGACCUGAGUUGUAUUAGGUAGGUGGUGAGGUAAAUGCUCACCAAGGCGACGAUACAUAGCCGGGCUGAGAGGGUGAUCCGCCACAACGGGACUUGGACACGGGCCAGACCCCUACGGGAGGCAACAGUAGGGAAUUUUCGGCAAUGGACGGAAGUCUUAACGAGGAAAGGCGCGGGAGUGAAGAAGGGUUUUGGAUUGUAAAGCUAUUUUGUUAGAGAAGCGGUAACUAACCAGAAAGCGACGGCUAACUACGUGCCAGCAGCCGCGGUAAUUC
RNAcentral lists this ribosomal RNA (407 nucleotides) under uncultured bacterium. RNAcentral's name for it is "partial 16S ribosomal RNA". It matches the Rfam family "Bacterial small subunit ribosomal RNA", at positions 28 to 526 of the family's 1533-position model. The record is from RNAcentral.